UGAAGGAACUCGGCAAAUUGACACCGUAACUUCGGAAGAAGGUGUGCCCUGGUAGGUUGUAGCCGUACAGGCGAAGGCCGAAGGGGUUGCAAAAAAUCGGUGGCUGCGACUGUUUAAUAAAAACACAGCACUCUGCAAACACGAUGAGUGGACGUAUAGGGUGUGACGCCUGCCCGGUGCCGGAAGGUUAAAUGAUGGGGUGCAAGCUCUUGAUUGAAGCCCCGGUAAACGGCGGCCGUAACGAUAACGGUCCUAAGGUAGCGAAAUUCCUUGUCGGGUAAGUUCCGACCUGCACGAAUGGCGUAACGAUGGCCACACUGUCUCCUCCUGAGACUCAGCGAAGUUGAAAUGUUUGUGAUGAUGCAAUCUACCCGCGGCUAGACGGAAAGACCCCGUGCACCUUUACUGUAGCUUUGCAUUGGACUGUGAUGGGAUCUGUGUAGGAUAGGUGGGAGGCUUUGAAGUGGGGGCGCUAGCCCUCAUGGAGCCGUCGUUGAAAUACCACCCUGAUGUCAUUGCGGUUCUAACCUUGGCCCCUUAGCGGGGUUGGGGACAGUGCAUGGUAGGCAGUUUGACUGGGGCGGUCUCCUCCCAAAGAGUAACGGAGGAGCUCGAAGGUACGCUAGGUACGGUCGGACAUCGUGCUGAUAGUGCAAUGGCACAAGCGUGCUUGACUGCGAGACUGACAAGUCGAGCAGGUGCGAAAGCAGGACAUAGUGAUCCGGUGGUUCUGAAUGGAAGGGCCAUCGCUCAACGGAUAAAAGGUACGCCGGGGAUAACAGGCUGAUUCCUCCCAAGAGUUCAUAUCGACGGGGGAGUUUGGCACCUCGAUGUCGGCUCAUCACAUCCUGGGGCUGUAGCCGGUCCCAAGGGUAUGGCUGUUCGCCAUUUAAAGUGGUACGUGAGCUGGGUUUAAAACGUCGUGAGACAGUUUGGUCCCUAUCUGCCGUGGGCGUUGGACGUUUGAGGGGGGCUGCUCCUAGUACGAGGGGACCGGAGUGGACGCACCUCUGGUGUACCGGUUAUCACGCCAGUGGUAUUGCCGGGUAGCUAAGUGCGGAAGAGAUAAGCGCUGAAAGCAUCUAAGCGCGAAACUUGCCUCGAGAUGAGACGUCCCGUGAUGUAAGUCACCUAAAGGGUCGCGGUAGACCACCGCGUUGAUAGGUCGGGUGUGGAAGCGCAGUAAUGCGUUAAGCUAACCGAUACUAAUUGCCCGUGCGGCUUGAUCCC
This 1230-nucleotide ribosomal RNA is filed under the name metagenome. RNAcentral describes it as "bacterial LSU rRNA". It matches the Rfam family "Bacterial large subunit ribosomal RNA", at positions 1705 to 2925 of the family's 2925-position model. The record is from RNAcentral.